Oncorhynchus mykiss (rainbow trout) is the source of this 4615-nucleotide long non-coding RNA. The record is from Ensembl. Lineage: Eukaryota; Metazoa; Chordata; Actinopteri; Salmoniformes; Salmonidae.
AUGCCCAAAAUAGCUACUAGCUUUCCGGAUCCACGUCAAAAUGUCAUUUUGCCUAUUGAUUUAAUAUCCAACAGAAAAACACAACUGCAGCUGACACCCACGGCAAUCAUGAGCAGCUCCAGGCAGGUACCACCUAAUAAAAGGGAACCAACAACUACAUAUCUGAAACGGAGGAUAAUAAAUGGAGAAAGCUUAAAGUCAUCAGGAACAGCAUUUAUUGGACAGGUUAUAAAGUUAUGGAAUAGUCCCCCGUGGGUGGGAGUUGACGGAAUAGAAGAUUACGUGGAAAAGUUGCUUCACAGCAUCUUUUUCUUAGGUCACAUUCAUGAGGACCGUCUUCUUCCAACUGACUUCUUGUCUCAAGCGGUGAUGGACGAAUUAAAAACAAGAUUUCAAAUGACAUUCCACAAUUACAUGUCUCCACCCCGUCAGACUCCAUUUUCUAUUCUUCUGACUUUGGCUGUCAGGUUUUGUGGUCAUGAGGACGAAGAUAUAAUACAAGAACAUCUUCUACGUUUCCUGGAAGCAUUGAAAUUGCCCCCCAAAAUAAAAGGCGAGAGUAACUACACUAACUACUACACUCUGGAGGCUACUGUCAUAGCUGUGUGCUACAACGAAACCCCUGGAGCCCUCAGACCAGAGAAGUACUAUGGAGCAUCCCUGUCCUGCAGAGGGGAGAGAGCAAGGAGAAUUAUGAUCAAUCAGUCAUGUCUAAACGUGUGGCAUGACUAUGUGUCUUAUGCAGUGUUGUCAUUCAGACAUGAUGAACAGGGAAACGGUAUCAUCUUCCCUGGCACCGUAAAAUGCAGAGCAUUCUACAGGAAUCACCAGGCCAAUCGUUAUGAAGACCGAAGGCCGUGCAAUAACUGUGGGGAUCUUUUCUCUCUCGCAAACCCUGAGACGGACAGAAAUGACUUUCCCUACGGAAACUGUGCCGAAACGGAGUGCCUGAGUAAACUUCUUUUCAAAGAUGAGGAUGUCAGGAGCAAUAUGAUUUUGGGAAUCUCCUACACAAGGGAAAACCUGAGAGGUCUUAAAGAAAAGGCAGCAAAAGCUUUGGAACAGAGUCUUAUGGCAUAGGUCUACUUAGCACCUCUGAACAGUGUGCAUUUGGCCGUCAUUUUCAAACCAACUGCAAACUGUGACUGUGUAAACUUCUAUUAUGUGAUCAGGAUGUCUGCAGCAAUAUGAGUUUUGUACACUACACAAGAGAAAAUGUCUUAGAAAAAUGACAGAAAAUGCUUUUGAACAUUUAGGUUUUGUUUCACACAGGUUUUAUACGUGGUGUUUUUGCUGUGUUUGACUUGGAAGUUUCCUCUGAAACUACAAGAACAAUGGUGUUCUUUAAUCACUCAACUGUGAUUAAGGCAACUGUGCCAGAGUCAUAAUGCACAAGUAAAUGGUUUCUGUCACUGAGAGUUGUGAAUUACAGCUCGGACAAACAAUAAAAUUAUUACCACUAAUAAGUAACAGACAUAAAAAGCAGCCACCUUGGGAAUACAGUUGUUUUACUUUUUGGUUUGGUCUUUGUGUUUGGUUGUUUACAUUUUAUUUAUUUAUUUUGGGGGGAUGUUUAAUUGUAAUAAGCUAUAAACUUUGACCCUUGUCAAAUAGUCUGCCAUGUGCUUUGUGUCACAGUGGAAAAUGAAUGAAAUGAAAAUGAACACAUUUCUGAUGUGACAGGAAACGGCAGAAAGGCGGUGACACUGAACUUGUUUGAAUGUAUUCAGUGAAACCCCAGCUAAAAGAGUGGACUAAAACAACAGACAGCACCAUGAAUAUCUAACAUUGUGUUUCUUUAUGACACAAACUUAUCUUGUAAAUAUUUUGAAUCCAUCAAUAAAUGAGAAUUGUUAAAAGUUGGUUGGAUGUUUUAGUUUACUUACAGUUUUCUGCUUUAACUUGGACCAGAUCUCUCUGGCAAAAUACAUUUGAUCUCAAAGUGAAAUAAAACAGGUUUUGGGGCGAACUCAAACUCCCACCACCAGUAACACCUACUUGGGUGAUGCAUUACAGCCAUGCUGUAACAGAGAGGACUCACUACUCACUCAUGUAUUUAUUGUAAGUUUAAGUGGUCAAGUGAAGAAUGGAGGGCGAAGAUAAAAUGUCAGUGUGAGUUGAUCCCUAACAGCAACAAAAAAUAAUUGUAGAGUACUCCUACUGUUUCCACAACAAAACAGGAAAUGUGGAAUGUUUUGAUCUGAAGUCAGUUAACCUUAAACCGGUUUUGAUAGGCCAACCUAACACAAUCAAGAACACCUCUUCUGUCACUGGUCCAGUUUGUACGUUUCCAGAUUUUGAACAGGAUAAAUGCAUGUUAAUAUUUCAAAUGUUGUUCAAAGCAAAGAUAAACGUAACACAAUAACAAAAUCCCAGGAUGUCUAUGUAUCAGUGAUGACACCAUGCACAUCAAGGAAUAAUAUUAUACCCUUAACCUUUUGUAAGAGAGAGAAUGCUGUUUAGUCAGUAAUACAUUAGUAAUAGUUACAACAUAAUGCAUCAGUCGGGAGUAACUCAGGGCAUCAGCGGAGCACCAGGGUGUUUUGUCGUCAGACUACCUUUCCCAGAGAAGUACACACGUGCAUGACUCAACCUGUUGAGAGGAAAAUUACCAAGAUGUGUCAGACAGAAACUCAAGGGCAGUUUUGUAUCACACAUUUUCAGCAUAUUGGACAAUGACUGUAUUCAUGUUUACCUAAUAGUUAUUGAGCACUGUGGAACAAAUAAAUAGACAAUAUUAACAUCAAGUAGAGAUGUUUUUGGUUAUAAGAGGACAUUUCAGAUAUAUUAUAUUGACGCAAACAAGAGAGAAGAUUGAACCAGUUAGACUCGUCUUAAAUGUGAUGUUAUUGUGUCCAUUAGGCCACCAGUUAAUGUAUUUGAAACAUAGUUAGUCUAAUCAGAUAAAUGUUUUGUGUUAUAUCUAGAUUGUCUGAGAUGCCUCAACCAUAGAGGGGAAGGUUUAGGCUAAGGCUUUGUAGUCGGCACUCUACAGCCCAGCGAUAACAACUGGCAACACCCUCAUGUUCUCUCCAGUCUGCUGGAGAAACCAAACCUCAGAGCAACAAGCCUCACGUCCUACAGUUAAACACUAGCAGUAAAACAGUGGUAAAAUAAUAAAAAGCACAGAGAUGAGUGAUAAAAGGCUGUGUUUGUGUUUGUUAUGUAAGAGGUCCAUAUGAGGGAAUUCAUCUUUAUUGACUCAUCAUAUGAAUGUACCAAUAUCCUGUAAUGUACUGUAAUUUCUUUCUAAGACCAAACAGGAAGUAGGAAAAUAGCCAUUGUGGAUUUCCAAAACAAGCGUUUCCAUCCAUUUAUUCUAGGGAAAACCAGGACAUAAAGAUACAUUUAAUUGAAACAAAUGCAGUACAAUAACAUGCUUGAUUAUUGUUAUACUGUACAAUGCCAAACACAUUUGAUACCGUUCCUUUUACUCCAUUCCAUCCAUUACACUCCAUUCCAUCCAUUCCACUCCAUUCCAUCAUUACACUCCAUUCCAGACAUUAUUAUAAGCCGUCCUCCCCUCAGCAGCCUCCACUGCUUUAGAUGUGUUAAUGUUCGAGUAGAUAGAUGUGUUUGCAACUUAGCCUGUUAUCUUCCUCCCAGAAUAUAGGGCAAUGACUACCGUAAAAUAGAUGAAGAUCCCCAACAUUGGUUAAAUGAUCUGUUUAUCAUGACUAGUUCAGUUAUCACACAUUACUAUCAGUAGUAGUUAGUACUACAGUACCAUGAGGACAUCUAGUAGGUAUUGUGGUGUGGCUCAUUUCAAAAGGUGCCCUGAACACAGCAAUACAACAGAACAAUGCCACACUACAAAAGGAUAACUCUAACAAAGAUAAAACAACCAAAAUAAAAAAAAAGGGGGGCAUCAAAACUGAAAGAGGAUCUACCUAGACUGGUACGAACUAGUAGAACUUGGAGAGUUAACCAUCCCUGUGAAACGGGUUUGGUGUCUCAUAUUUAAACAUCUUACCCGGGAAGUGAGGUAGGUUCAAAGCCUUUUCAGCAGAGAUUUGUAAACAAGAAGGGAGUAAUGAAGCGAUCUAGGGGACUUUAGUCAGGACCAGCCGACCUUCUGAUACGGGAUGCAGUGACGAGUAUUAAACCUGUCACCUGUGAUAAAGUGAAGUGCUCUAUGGUAGACUGCAUCCAGAGGUUUUAGAGGGGUGUCUGCUGCACUACUUUUUAUUUAACUAGACAAGUCAGUUAUUUAUUUACAAUGACGGCCUACCCCGGCCAAACCUGGGUGACGCUGGGCCAAUUGAGCACCGCCCUAUAGGACUCCCAACCACGGCCGGAUGUGAUACAGCCUUCAUUUGAACCAGGGACUGAAGUGACACCUCUUGCACUGAGAUGCAGUGCCUUAGACUGCCAUGCCACACAGGAGCCCCUUAAUUUUUGCCUUAAGUACCCAUCUGUUUUAUGUAACCAUACCAAACGUAACAUAUACUAAUUUGGGUGUCCCGAACUUACUGUUACUAUGAUACCAGGCUGGAAGAAAAGGUGUCACUGAACUUAUGUAAGUAACACAGGACAAAUACAGACAGCAUGAUGAAUUAUCACAUCAGAAUUCCUGAAAGUUGGUUGCUUUUAGUUUCCUCCUGCUGCUAUAUCU